RNAcentral lists this transfer RNA (74 nucleotides) under Thiothrix sp. RNAcentral's name for it is "tRNA-Gly". It matches the Rfam family "tRNA". From Rfam's summary of the family: Transfer RNA (tRNA) molecules are approximately 80 nucleotides in length. Their secondary structure includes four short double-helical elements and three loops (D, anti-codon, and T loops). The record is from RNAcentral. Lineage: Bacteria; Pseudomonadati; Pseudomonadota; Gammaproteobacteria; Thiotrichales; Thiotrichaceae.
GCGGGUGUAGUUCAAUGGUAGAACCUCAGCCUUCCAAGCUGAAUAUGAGGGUUCGAUUCCCUCUACCCGCUCCA